AGGGGGAGGGGGGCUGCUCCUAGUACGAGAGGACCGGAGUGGACGCAUCACUGGUGUUCGGGUUGUCAUGCCAAUGGCACUGCCCGGUAGCUAAAUGCGGAAGAGAUAAGUGCUGAAAGCAUCUAAGCACGAAACUUGCCCCGAGAUGAGUUCUCCCUGAGACUUUAAGUCUCCUGAAGGAACGUUGAAGACGACGACGUUGAUAGGUCGGGUGUGUAAGCGCAGCGAUGCGUUGAGCUAACCGAUACUAAUGAACCGUGAGGCUUAACCUU
RNAcentral lists this ribosomal RNA (272 nucleotides) under Enterobacter hormaechei. RNAcentral describes it as "partial 23S ribosomal RNA". It matches the Rfam family "Bacterial large subunit ribosomal RNA", at positions 2652 to 2925 of the family's 2925-position model. The record is from RNAcentral. Lineage: Bacteria; Pseudomonadati; Pseudomonadota; Gammaproteobacteria; Enterobacterales; Enterobacteriaceae.